This 455-nucleotide long non-coding RNA is filed under the name Homo sapiens (human). RNAcentral describes it as "HSALNT0022204". The record is from RNAcentral. Lineage: Eukaryota; Metazoa; Chordata; Mammalia; Primates; Hominidae.
GUCAAUUAUACCUCAAGAAAGUUGUUUUUGAAAAAACUGUCUUUCCAAGUUGGAAAAAGCAUAUUCUUACUUGUUCCAAACUAGUUGUAGAAGAAGGAAGUGACCUCCAAGAAAAACCACAACUCCACAUCAUCCCACUACUCCCUAACCUCCCAGUCACACCAAGUAGCGAAGUAUAGAAUUCACAUCUGUGAAUAUCACAUUUCUAGAAUAUAAGCACGAGAUAAAAUAUUACUGCUGCUCUAGCAAAUCAGUAAGUCAUGAGACUUAUGAAGAAAUGUAAAAAUGGAAACUUUAUUAUAUUUACCAUGGCAUGAUAUUGGCUCACUGUAGCCUCCGACACCUGGGUUCAAGUGAUUCUCCUGCCUCAGCCUCCAAAGUAGCUGGGAUUACAGGCACCUGCCACCACGCCCAGCUAAUUUUUGUAUUUUUAGCAGAGAUGGGGUUUCAUCAUG